This 245-nucleotide ribosomal RNA is filed under the name Pseudomonadales bacterium. RNAcentral's name for it is "partial 23S ribosomal RNA". It matches the Rfam family "Bacterial large subunit ribosomal RNA", at positions 1 to 245 of the family's 2925-position model. The record is from RNAcentral. Lineage: Bacteria; Pseudomonadati; Pseudomonadota; Gammaproteobacteria; Pseudomonadales.
GGUCAAGUGAAUAAGCGCAUACGGUGAAUGCCUAGGCGGUAAGAGGCGAUGAAGGACGUUGUAGCAUGCGAUAAGCCACGGUUAGUUUGCAAACUAACUUUGAUCCGUGGAUUUCCGAAUGGGGAAACCCGGCCAGGACAACCUGGUCAUCAAUGACUGAAUACAUAGGUCAUUAGAAGCGAACCCGGGGAACUGAAACAUCUAAGUACCCGGAGGAAAAGAAAUCAACCGAGAUUCCCUUAGUA